RNAcentral lists this ribosomal RNA (2483 nucleotides) under Salmonella enterica subsp. arizonae serovar 18:z4,z23:- str. CVM N5. Its description in RNAcentral is "bacterial LSU rRNA". It matches the Rfam family "Bacterial large subunit ribosomal RNA", at positions 465 to 2925 of the family's 2925-position model. Lineage: Bacteria; Pseudomonadati; Pseudomonadota; Gammaproteobacteria; Enterobacterales; Enterobacteriaceae. The record is from RNAcentral.
GCUAAAUACUCCUGACUGACCGAUAGUGAACCAGUACCGUGAGGGAAAGGCGAAAAGAACCCCGGCGAGGGGAGUGAAACAGAACCUGAAACCGUGUACGUACAAGCAGUGGGAGCAUGAGUUUACUCAUGUGACUGCGUACCUUUUGUAUAAUGGGUCAGCGACUUAUAUUCUGUAGCAAGGUUAACCGUAUAGGGGAGCCGUAGGGAAACCGAGUCUUAACCGGGCGUUAAGUUGCAGGGUAUAGACCCGAAACCCGGUGAUCUAGCCAUGGGCAGGUUGAAGGUUGGGUAACACUAACUGGAGGACCGAACCGACUAAUGUUGAAAAAUUAGCGGAUGACCUGUGGCUGGGGGUGAAAGGCCAAUCAAACCGGGAGAUAGCUGGUUCUCCCCGAAAGCUAUUUAGGUAGCGCCUCGUGAAUUCAUCUCCGGGGGUAGAGCACUGUUUCGGCCAGGGGGCCAUCCCGGCUUACCAACCCGAUGCAAACUGCGAAUACCGGAGAAUGUUAUCACGGGAGACACACGGCGGGUGCUAACGUCCGUCGUGAAGAGGGAAACAACCCAGACCGCCAGCUAAGGUCCCAAAGUCAUGGUUAAGUGGGAAACGAUGUGGGAAGGCCCAGACAGCCAGGAUGUUGGCUUAGAAGCAGCCAUCAUUUAAAGAAAGCGUAAUAGCUCACUGGUCGAGUCGGCCUGCGCGGAAGAUGUAACGGGGCUAAACCAUGCACCGAAGCUGCGGCAGCGUCGUUGGGUAGGGGAGCGUUCUGUAAGCCUGCGAAGGUGGCCUGUGAGGGUUGCUGGAGGUAUCAGAAGUGCGAAUGCUGACAUAAGUAACGAUAAUGCGGGUGAAAAACCCGCACGCCGGAAGACCAAGGGUUCCUGUCCAACGUUAAUCGGGGCAGGGUGAGUCGACCCCUAAGGCGAGGCCGAAAGGCGUAGUCGAUGGGAAACAGGUUAAUAUUCCUGUACCUGGUGUUACUGCGAAGGGGGGACGGAGAAGGCUAUGUUGGCCGGGCGACGGUUGUCCCGGUUUAAGCGUGUAGGCUGGUUUUCCAGGCAAAUCCGGAAAAUCAAGGCUGAGGCGUGACGACGAGGCACUACGGUGCUGAAGCAACAAAUGCCCUGCUUCCAGGAAAAGCCUCUAAGCCUCAGGUAACAUCAGAUCGUACCCGAAACCGACACAGGUGGUCAGGUAGAGAAUACCAAGGCGCUUGAGAGAACCCGGGUGAAGGAACUAGGCAAAAUGGUGCCGUAACUUCGGGAGAAGGCACGCUGACACGUAGGUGAAGCGGUUUACCCGUGAAGCUGAAGUCAGUCGAAGAUACCAGCUGGCUGCAACUGUUUAUUAAAAACACAGCACUGUGCAAACACGAAAGUGGACGUAUACGGUGUGACGCCUGCCCGGUGCCGGAAGGUUAAUUGAUGGGGUCAGCGCAAGCGAAGCUCCUGAUCGAAGCCCCGGUAAACGGCGGCCGUAACUAUAACGGUCCUAAGGUAGCGAAAUUCCUUGUCGGGUAAGUUCCGACCUGCACGAAUGGCGUAAUGAUGGCCAGGCUGUCUCCACCCGGGACUCAGUGAAAUUGAACUCGCUGUGAAGAUGCAGUGUACCCGCGGCAAGACGGAAAGACCCCGUGAACCUUUACUAUAGCUUGACACUGAACACUGGUCCUUGAUGUGCAGGAUAGGUGGGAGGCUUUGAAGUGUGGACGCCAGUCUGCAUGGAGCCGUCCUUGAAAUACCACCCUUUAAUGGCUGGUGUUCUAACGUAGACCCGUGAACCGGGUUGCGGACAGUGUCUGGUGGGUAGUUUGACUGGGGCGGUCUCCUCCUAAAGCGUAACGGAGGAGCACGAAGGUUGGCUAAUCCUGGUCGGACAUCAGGAGGUUAGUGCAAUGGCAUAAGCCAGCUUGACUGCGAGCGUGACGGCGCGAGCAGGUGCGAAAGCAGGUCAUAGUGAUCCGGUGGUUCUGAAUGGAAGGGCCAUCGCUCAACGGAUAAAAGGUACUCCGGGGAUAACAGGCUGAUACCGCCCAAGAGUUCAUAUCGACGGCGGUGUUUGGCACCUCGAUGUCGGCUCAUCACAUCCUGGGGCUGAAGUAGGUCCCAAGGGUAUGGCUGUUCGCCAUUUAAAGUGGUACGCGAGCUGGGUUUAGAACGUCGUGAGACAGUUCGGUCCCUAUCUGCCGUGGGCGCUGGAGAACUGAGGGGGGCUGCUCCUAGUACGAGAGGACCGGAGUGGACGCAUCACUGGUGUUCGGGUUGUCAUGCCAAUGGCACUGCCCGGUAGCUAAAUGCGGAAGAGAUAAGUGCUGAAAGCAUCUAAGCACGAAACUUGCCCCGAGAUGAGUUCUCCCUGAGACUACAAGUCUCCUGAAGGAACGUUGAAGACGACGACGUUGAUAGGCCGGGUGUGUAAGCGCAGCGAUGCGUUGAGCUAACCGGUACUAAUGAACCGUGAGGCUUAACCUUACAACGCCGAAG